AAGACCCCCUAUUUCCCUCACAGAGCUACAAUUCUCAGAGAGUUUUAACAAUGAAUUUGUCUGAGAUUUGUAGCUCUGCGAGGAAGAUAGGGGUCU
This is a non-coding RNA of Podarcis lilfordi (Lilford's wall lizard), 96 nucleotides long. The record is from the annotation of a GenBank genome assembly. NCBI's taxonomy places the organism in Eukaryota, Metazoa, Chordata, Lepidosauria, Squamata, Lacertidae.